GGGGUUCCCGAGUGGCCAAAGGGAUCAGACUGUAAAUCUGACGCGCAAGCUUCGGUGGUUCGAAUCCACCCCCCUCC
RNAcentral lists this transfer RNA (77 nucleotides) under Ditylum brightwellii. It matches the Rfam family "tRNA". Rfam says of the family: Transfer RNA (tRNA) molecules are approximately 80 nucleotides in length. Their secondary structure includes four short double-helical elements and three loops (D, anti-codon, and T loops). Further hydrogen bonds mediate the characteristic L-shaped molecular structure. tRNAs have two regions of fundamental functional importance: the anti-codon, which is responsible for specific mRNA codon recognition, and the 3' end, to which the tRNAs corresponding amino acid is attached (by aminoacyl-tRNA synthetases). tRNAs cope with the degeneracy of the genetic code in two manners: having more than one tRNA (with a specific anti-codon) for a particular amino acid; and 'wobble' base-pairing, i.e. permitting non-standard base-pairing at the 3rd anti-codon position. The record is from RNAcentral. Lineage: Eukaryota; Bacillariophyta; Thalassiosirophyceae; Lithodesmiales; Lithodesmiaceae. RNAcentral also lists the same sequence under 1 other name.